This 2905-nucleotide ribosomal RNA is filed under the name Escherichia coli. RNAcentral describes it as "23S ribosomal RNA". It matches the Rfam family "Bacterial large subunit ribosomal RNA". Lineage: Bacteria; Pseudomonadati; Pseudomonadota; Gammaproteobacteria; Enterobacterales; Enterobacteriaceae. The record is from RNAcentral.
GGUUAAGCGACUAAGCGUACACGGUGGAUGCCCUGGCAGUCAGAGGCGAUGAAGGACGUGCUAAUCUGCGAUAAGCGUCGGUAAGGUGAUAUGAACCGUUAUAACCGGCGAUUUCCGAAUGGGGAAACCCAGUGUGAUUCGUCACACUAUCAUUAACUGAAUCCAUAGGUUAAUGAGGCGAACCGGGGGAACUGAAACAUCUAAGUACCCCGAGGAAAAGAAAUCAACCGAGAUUCCCCCAGUAGCGGCGAGCGAACGGGGAGGAGCCCAGAGCCUGAAUCAGUGUGUGUGUUAGUGGAAGCGUCUGGAAAGGCGCGCGAUACAGGGUGACAGCCCCGUACACAAAAAUGCACAUACUGUGAGCUCGAUGAGUAGGGCGGGACACGUGGUAUCCUGUCUGAAUAUGGGGGGACCAUCCUCCAAGGCUAAAUACUCCUGACUGACCGAUAGUGAACCAGUACCGUGAGGGAAAGGCGAAAAGAACCCCGGCGAGGGGAGUGAAAAAGAACCUGAAACCGUGUACGUACAAGCAGUGGGAGCCUCUUAAUGGGGUGACUGCGUACCUUUUGUAUAAUGGGUCAGCGACUUAUAUUCUGUAGCAAGGUUAACCGAAUAGGGGAGCCGAAGGGAAACCGAGUCUUAACUGGGCGUUAAGUUGCAGGGUAUAGACCCGAAACCCGGUGAUCUAGCCAUGGGCAGGUUGAAGGUUGGGUAACACUAACUGGAGGACCGAACCGACUAAUGUUGAAAAAUUAGCGGAUGACUUGUGGCUGGGGGUGAAAGGCCAAUCAAACCGGGAGAUAGCUGGUUCUCCCCGAAAGCUAUUUAGGUAGCGCCUCGUGAAUUCAUCUCCGGGGGUAGAGCACUGUUUCGGCAAGGGGGUCAUCCCGACUUACCAACCCGAUGCAAACUGCGAAUACCGGAGAAUGUUAUCACGGGAGACACACGGCGGGUGCUAACGUCCGUCGUGAAGAGGGAAACAACCCAGACCGCCAGCUAAGGUCCCAAAGUCAUGGUUAAGUGGGAAACGAUGUGGGAAGGCCCAGACAGCCAGGAUGUUGGCUUAGAAGCAGCCAUCAUUUAAAGAAAGCGUAAUAGCUCACUGGUCGAGUCGGCCUGCGCGGAAGAUGUAACGGGGCUAAACCAUGCACCGAAGCUGCGGCAGCGACGCUUAUGCGUUGUUGGGUAGGGGAGCGUUCUGUAAGCCUGCGAAGGUGUACUGUGAGGUAUGCUGGAGGUAUCAGAAGUGCGAAUGCUGACAUAAGUAACGAUAAAGCGGGUGAAAAGCCCGCUCGCCGGAAGACCAAGGGUUCCUGUCCAACGUUAAUCGGGGCAGGGUGAGUCGACCCCUAAGGCGAGGCCGAAAGGCGUAGUCGAUGGGAAACAGGUUAAUAUUCCUGUACUUGGUGUUACUGCGAAGGGGGGACGGAGAAGGCUAUGUUGGCCGGGCGACGGUUGUCCCGGUUUAAGCGUGUAGGCUGGUUUUCCAGGCAAAUCCGGAAAAUCAAGGCUGAGGCGUGAUGACGAGGCACUACGGUGCUGAAGCAACAAAUGCCCUGCUUCCAGGAAAAGCCUCUAAGCAUCAGGUAACAUCAAAUCGUACCCCAAACCGACACAGGUGGUCAGGUAGAGAAUACCAAGGCGCUUGAGAGAACUCGGGUGAAGGAACUAGGCAAAAUGGUGCCGUAACUUCGGGAGAAGGCACGCUGAUAUGUAGGUGAAGUCCCUCGCGGAUGGAGCUGAAAUCAGUCGAAGAUACCAGCUGGCUGCAACUGUUUAUUAAAAACACAGCACUGUGCAAACACGAAAGUGGACGUAUACGGUGUGACGCCUGCCCGGUGCCGGAAGGUUAAUUGAUGGGGUUAGCGGUAACGCGAAGCUCUUGAUCGAAGCCCCGGUAAACGGCGGCCGUAACUAUAACGGUCCUAAGGUAGCGAAAUUCCUUGUCGGGUAAGUUCCGACCUGCACGAAUGGCGUAAUGAUGGCCAGGCUGUCUCCACCCGAGACUCAGUGAAAUUGAACUCGCUGUGAAGAUGCAGUGUACCCGCGGCAAGACGGAAAGACCCCGUGAACCUUUACUAUAGCUUGACACUGAACAUUGAGCCUUGAUGUGUAGGAUAGGUGGGAGGCUUUGAAGUGUGGACGCCAGUCUGCAUGGAGCCGGCCUUGAAAUACCACCCUUUAAUGUUUGAUGUUCUAACGUUGGCCCCUGACCGGGGUUGCGGACAGUGUCUGGUGGGUAGUUUGACUGGGGCGGUCUCCUCCUAAAGAGUAACGGAGGAGCACGAAGGUUGGCUAAUCCUGGUCGGACAUCAGGAGGUUAGUGCAAUGGCAUAAGCCAGCUUGACUGCGAGCGUGACGGCGCGAGCAGGUGCGAAAGCAGGUCAUAGUGAUCCGGUGGUUCUGAAUGGAAGGGCCAUCGCUCAACGGAUAAAAGGUACUCCGGGGAUAACAGGCUGAUACCGCCCAAGAGUUCAUAUCGACGGCGGUGUUUGGCACCUCGAUGUCGGCUCAUCACAUCCUGGGGCUGAAGUAGGUCCCAAGGGUAUGGCUGUUCGCCAUUUAAAGUGGUACGCGAGCUGGGUUUAGAACGUCGUGAGACAGUUCGGUCCCUAUCUGCCGUGGGCGCUGGAGAACUGAGGGGGGCUGCUCCUAGUACGAGAGGACCGGAGUGGACGCAUCACUGGUGUUCGGGUUGUCAUGCCAAUGGCACUGCCCGGUAGCUAAAUGCGGAAGAGAUAAGUGCUGAAAGCAUCUAAGCACGAAACUUGCCCCGAGAUGAGUUCUCCCUGACUCCUUGAGAGUCCUGAAGGAACGUUGAAGACGACGACGUUGAUAGGCCGGGUGUGUAAGCGCAGCGAUGCGUUGAGCUAACCGGUACUAAUGAACCGUGAGGCUUAACCUU